AUCAAGAUCCUGCUGUCG
Molecule: unclassified non-coding RNA, 18 nt
Filed under: Mus musculus (house mouse)
Lineage: Eukaryota; Metazoa; Chordata; Mammalia; Rodentia; Muridae
Description: oocyte_clustered_small_RNA5092
Source: RNAcentral